UCUUCUAUUCAGCUCUCUAACAGACCUGAUAGUUGGAUCUGGAAAUGAAGUUCUAAUCAUAUAUUCUCAGUAAAGAGUUGUUACUUUUUCUUAAUGCAUGGGGGGAUUAUCUCCCACAUUAGUAAGGAGAUAUGGAAGCUUCCUCUUCCUGAAAAAGUGAAGCUAUUUACUUGGCUAUGUUACAAUAAUAAAAUAUUGACAGCAGAAAACUUGGAGAAGAAAGGUAUCACAGGCCCAAGUCAUUGCCCUUUAUGCUUCAAUAGCUGUGAAACCACUGACCAUCUCUUCGUAUAAUGUUCAUACUCUAGAAAAUGCUGGUUUCUUCUAUUACAAAGCUUCAACAUUAAGAGUUUGCCUUCAUCAGUUUAUGAGCUCUGGAAUAGAUGGAAGAAGCAGAACUCCGAACAUAUCCCAUCAUCUUCUUUGGCAAACAUUGUCGCCACUACUUGUUGGUUCCUUUGGAAGGAAAGGAAUCAGAGAGUUUUUCAGUUUGAAGCAAAAUGUGUAGCAGAAAUGGUAAGAAAAAUUGCAAGAACGCUCCAAAGUUGGUUGGUACCGGUUGGCAGCAACUACACUGCAAUUGUUGAACAAUUCAUCGAAACUGAAGAGACUUUUCCAAACAACUAAGAGCAUGGAAAAAAGAGAUACCUGAAAAGAUACUCUUAUUGUGAAUGCAUUCCUAAAUUUGAUUGUACUAUUUGGUGAAGAGAAAGAGUCAAGAAGAUAGCAUAAGCAAAGCGGCGUUUCGUUUUCAAAGUGGGCAUGCUCUGUAAUGCAUGCAGGAAGAAGGUUUUUAAACUGCUUCAUUAGAUUGAAAGUCUGGAGGAAGCAUAAAAUCAUUUCUCGUCUUUUCC
RNAcentral lists this long non-coding RNA (854 nucleotides) under Elaeis guineensis (African oil palm). RNAcentral describes it as "long non-coding RNA (EGUI_LNC001646)". Lineage: Eukaryota; Viridiplantae; Streptophyta; Magnoliopsida; Arecales; Arecaceae. The record is from RNAcentral.